UACACUACAUGUUAUCUGCGAUGAGUGUCACAGUAUGCUGUGUGUUUAAGUGCAAUGUUAAAGAAAUUUAGUGACUGGAACAUUGUUUUUUCUGGUUUUGUGCUUCUAAAACUGGUAUUUUUAUGACAUAAAG
Sorex fumeus (smoky shrew) is the source of this 133-nucleotide small nucleolar RNA. RefSeq annotates it as small nucleolar RNA SNORA8. The record is from RefSeq and is a predicted model, not a curated record. The transcript has a single exon. NCBI's taxonomy places the organism in Eukaryota, Metazoa, Chordata, Mammalia, Eulipotyphla, Soricidae.